GGUAAAUCUCGUGCCAGCCACCGCGGUUAUACGAAAGACCCUAGUUGACAAACACGGCGUAAGGGUGGUUAGGGGUAAAUAAAAAUAAAGCCAAAGAUCCCCCAAGCCGUCAUACGCACCCUGGAGACACGAAGCCCUAAUACGAAAGUAGCUUUACCUGAACUUUUGCCCGACCCCACGAAAGCUAAGAAACAAACUAGGAUUAGAUACCCCACUAU
This 218-nucleotide ribosomal RNA is filed under the name Ituglanis amazonicus. RNAcentral's name for it is "partial small subunit ribosomal RNA". The record is from RNAcentral. Lineage: Eukaryota; Metazoa; Chordata; Actinopteri; Siluriformes; Trichomycteridae.